Molecule: unclassified non-coding RNA, 262 nt
Filed under: uncultured Diversispora
Lineage: Eukaryota; Fungi; Glomeromycota; Glomeromycetes; Diversisporales; Diversisporaceae
Description: sequence contains 18S rRNA gene
Rfam family: Eukaryotic small subunit ribosomal RNA
Source: RNAcentral
AGCAGCCGCGGUAAUUCCAGCUCCAAUAGCGUAUAUUAAAGUUGUUGCAGUUAAAAGCUCGUAGUUGAAUUUCGGGAUCAAUUAAUUAGUCGUGCCUCUGGUACGUACUGAUUUUAUUGGUUUCUCCCUUCUGACGAACCAUGAUGUCAUUAAUUUGGUGUCGUGGAGAAUCAGGACUGUUACUUUAGAAAAAUUGAGUGUUUAAAGCAAGCUAACGCUUGAAUACAUUAGCAUGGAAUAAUGAAAUAGGACGUUUGAUCCU